GAUGAACGCUAGCGGGAGGCCUAACACAUGCAAGCCGAGCGGUAUUUGUUCUUCGGAACAGAGAGAGCGGCGCACGGGUGCGGAACACGUGUGCAACCUGCCUUUAUCUGGGGGAUAGCCUUUCGAAAGGAAGAUUAAUACCCCAUAAUAUAUUGAGUCGUAUCAUUUGAUAUUGAAAACUCCGGUGGAUAGAGAUGGGCACGCGCAAGAUUAGAUAGUUGGUGAGGUAACGGCUCACCAAGUCAAUGAUCUUUAGGGGGCCUGAGAGGGUGAUCCCCCACACUGGUACUGAGACACGGACCAGACUCCUACGGGAGGCAGCAGUGAGGAAUAUUGGACAAUGGGUUAGCGCCUGAUCCAGCCAUCCCGCGUGAAGGACGACGGCCCUAUGGGUUGUAAACUUCUUUUGUAUAGGGAUAAACCUACUCUCGUGAGAGUAGCUGAAGGUACUAUACGAAUAAGCACCGGCUAACUCCGUG
Molecule: ribosomal RNA, 479 nt
Filed under: uncultured bacterium
Lineage: Bacteria
Description: partial 16S ribosomal RNA
Rfam family: Bacterial small subunit ribosomal RNA
Source: RNAcentral